GGAGGGGUGGUCGAGUGGUUGAUGGCUCCGGUCUUGAAAACCGGCGAAUCGAAAGAUUCCGUGGGUUCGAAUCCCACCCCUCCG
Molecule: transfer RNA, 84 nt
Filed under: Cyanobium sp. CACIAM 14
Lineage: Bacteria; Bacillati; Cyanobacteriota; Cyanophyceae; Synechococcales; Prochlorococcaceae
Rfam family: tRNA
About the family: Transfer RNA (tRNA) molecules are approximately 80 nucleotides in length. Their secondary structure includes four short double-helical elements and three loops (D, anti-codon, and T loops).
Source: Rfam by way of RNAcentral